Molecule: transfer RNA, 87 nt
Filed under: Candidatus Saccharimonadota bacterium
Lineage: Bacteria; Candidatus Saccharimonadota
Description: Candidatus Saccharibacteria bacterium tRNA-Leu
Rfam family: tRNA
About the family: Transfer RNA (tRNA) molecules are approximately 80 nucleotides in length. Their secondary structure includes four short double-helical elements and three loops (D, anti-codon, and T loops).
Source: RNAcentral
GCGGACGUGCUGGAAUUGGUAGACAGGCUGGCUUGAGGUGCCAGUGCCGUAAAAAGCGUGGAGGUUCAAGUCCUCUCGUCCGCACCA